This 253-nucleotide ribosomal RNA is filed under the name uncultured bacterium. RNAcentral's name for it is "partial 16S ribosomal RNA". It matches the Rfam family "Bacterial small subunit ribosomal RNA", at positions 524 to 776 of the family's 1533-position model. The record is from RNAcentral.
UACGAAGGGUCCAAGCGUUGUUCGGAAUCAUUGGGCGUAAAGGGCGUGUAGGUGGUUCUGUAUGUCUACCGUGAAAGCGUACGGCUCAACCGUAUUUAGUCGGUAGAAACUGCAGGACUUGAGGCUGGGAGGGGCUGGUGGAAUUCCCCGUGUAGCGGUGAAAUGCGUAGAGAUGGGGGAGAACACUCGUGGCGAAGGCGGCCAGCUAGACCAGUUCUGACACUGAGGCGCGACAGCGUGGGGAGCAAACAGG